This is a long non-coding RNA of Oreochromis aureus, 280 nucleotides long. RefSeq lists it as uncharacterized. Lineage: Eukaryota; Metazoa; Chordata; Actinopteri; Cichliformes; Cichlidae. The record is from RefSeq and is a predicted model, not a curated record. The transcript is spliced from 3 exons.
CUUCCUGAAAGUUGUUUUCCUCCUUCCUCUUUUAAUGCCUGACAGUGUUUAUCUCUCUAUCUACUGGACAAUCCAGGAGUCAGAAAUAGAGAAGAGAGGAGGCCAAAAUGAGAAGAGCCACAGGGAGAUUGAGAAUGCAUCGUAUCAUAAACUGCUACACAGCUCAUGACAUGGGACGGAAACCCCGCGUGCCUCAUGAUAAAAUGCAUGGAAACAGCACAGGACACGUCUUGCAUGGCAAUACAACGAUGGCUGCCGUCGCAUAUAAGCUAUAUACUGU